UAUAUAUACACUUCUGGUAUUGAAUUAUAAAUGUUUUAUGUAAGAUGGUCAUCAUCAGCAUAGCCAUGUAUAAUGUACUAAUCGUUAUUAUUUUUAAAUUAUAUUACAAGCUAGAGUUUGGUCUUCAUUAGCUCAACUAAAGCUGUUUAGGUAGGAUCAAUCCAAGUCAAGUUUCAGGGCUGAUUGGAUGAGCAAUUCCCCUGUUUAGGCCUACUGAGUUUCUGUCUAUAGGAUAAGCAUGUGUAGUACGCCCCUUAUAGUUUAAACUGAGCAUGUCCAUAUUGAAGAACAAAGAAGCAUAUCAUUACAUAGUAUGCGUCAUAUUAAUUCUGUUCGUGAACGUAAGUCGUUGUUUUCAACAAACUUUAAAAUAGGAUUUACUUGACUUUUACUUAUAUUUCAUUUGAUAUUGUUUUGUAUGCAUUACCUUCGACACAGAAAUGCGCAUUUGAAAUUCAAACGGCUUAAGUAUUAUCCAAUGACAAAUUCCAAAAUAUAAACCCCCAAAAUGCAUUUUGAGAAUUACAAAAUUAAUGACGAAUAAUAUAUAUUGUUUAACAAUUUCUUCCAAUGGGUUUAUUAGAACCAAAAAGGUUCCCAUUAAUUUCGUCAGGUUUGCUCACAAAUCACACCAGGUUUGCUGAUGAACCUAAACAUGUUUACUCAAAAGAUACACCAGGUUUGCUCAUGACGUACACUAAGUUUGCUCAUGAAUUACCCCAGGUUUUUCUCAUGAUGUACACCAGGUUUGCUCAUGAAUUACACCAGGUUUGCUCAUCAUGAACUACACCAGGUUUGCCCGUGACGUACAUCAGGUUUGCUCAUGAAUUGCACCAGGUUUGUUCAUGACGUACACGAGGCUUGCUCAUGAAUGACACUAGGUUUGCCCGUGACGUACACCAGGUUUGCUUAUGAAUUACACCAGGUUUGCUCAUGGCGUACACCAUUUUUGCUCAUGAAUUACAUCUUGUUUGCUUAUGAAUUAUAGGAUUUGCUCAUGAAUUCCACCUUGUUUGGUUAUGAAUUAUACCAAUUUUUCUCAUGAAUUACACCAAGGUUGGUCAUGAAUUCAGUUAUUAACAGUUGAUUAAAAUAAAAUAAAACCAGUUUUAUAGAACUUAUUCUCAUUGACUAAAUAAUUAGUCACAUGUUUAGCAUACUGUGCCCUGGAUCAUGCUAAUACACAGUCCCUGUGUAUUAGCGUUGAUUUAUAUGACAUUUGCCUUUACAGUAAUUGAAUUGUUUAACCUGUCACAUUAAUUUUCUCCAUGUUAUUUAAUAUUUGAUUAUUGUAAAUGUAAAUUCCAAUAAUAAAAUGUUAACUGAAAGUUCUACGCAAUAGUUGUAUAUAAUAAUGUGUGGGUAGCUGCAAAGCUGUUCACACAGUAACCGUUGUCUGUUAUGUAAUAUAUUAUAUUAUAAUAAGAAAACCUAUAUUAGGAUUCGAACAUUAGCCAGAUAGUGUAGUAAAGAAUUAUUGUUCAUAGCUAAUUAUCUCAUGCAUAGUUUAAGUGGGAGUGUGUGUGUAUGUAUGUGGGAGUGUAUCGGCGUGUGGGUGCGUAGUGUAGCCUAUAAUAGGUGUGCGCAUGUAUCUGCGGAAAGGGUGUCUGUUCAAAUGUGUUUAUAAAACAAUAUAACAUAUUUACAUAUGUAUUAUAAAUAUACUUAUGUAUGAUACAUACAAGUAUAAUAAUACCUGAGCUAAUUGUAAAAUAACACCUGAAGUUUGAAUUAAGAUAAAAUUGUAUUAUUGUAUAUAUUUAAAGUAAUAUAUAAAAUGUAUAUAAUCAUAUAUAAAUAUGAUAAAUUAUAUAUAUAUAUAUAUAUAUAUAUAUAUACAUCAUAUAUAUGGUAUAUAUGUAUUGUAUAUUAUUCGUAUAUAUACUAUACAUAUAUCUAAUGUCAAUAUUUGAUGUAGGCCUACCAUACAUGGUAUAUACCGUAGAUACUAUGUUUAUUUAUACUAAUUGUAUAUAUACUGGAGUGUAUGUAUGACGCAUGUGUGUGUGUGUGCGCAUGAGCAUGAGCAUUAAUAUGCAAAUAUUUCAAUUAGCUUAGAAUAUAUACAUAAAUAAAAGAAAUACAGGUGCUUAGAAAAUUUUCAUACUUGUACACGUGUUACUUAGGUUUACAGGGUCAUAUGUGGGUUACAUAUUUACUUUGGAAUAUUUUGUUUAGAUUAAAAGUUUAGAAACAAUA
RNAcentral lists this long non-coding RNA (2199 nucleotides) under Anneissia japonica. RNAcentral's name for it is "uncharacterized LOC117123386". Lineage: Eukaryota; Metazoa; Echinodermata; Crinoidea; Comatulida; Comatulidae. The record is from RNAcentral.